AGAACAAAUAUUGUUAGUACUCGUAUAAUAUCGAGAAUAAGGCUUGAUAGUUUCUGCCAGAUGGCCAUAAACUAUCUGACUACGAGUGGAAGUGUACCUAAA
Molecule: non-coding RNA, 102 nt
Filed under: Orenia metallireducens
Lineage: Bacteria; Bacillati; Bacillota; Clostridia; Halanaerobiales; Halobacteroidaceae
Also listed under: 1 other name
Description: Purine riboswitch aptamer
Rfam family: Purine riboswitch aptamer
About the family: Riboswitches are metabolite binding domains within certain messenger RNAs that serve as precision sensors for their corresponding targets. Allosteric rearrangement of mRNA structure is mediated by ligand binding, and this results in modulation of gene expression. A class of riboswitches that selectively recognises guanine and becomes saturated at concentrations as low as 5 nM.
Source: Rfam by way of RNAcentral